RNAcentral lists this ribosomal RNA (274 nucleotides) under uncultured bacterium. RNAcentral describes it as "partial 16S ribosomal RNA". It matches the Rfam family "Bacterial small subunit ribosomal RNA", at positions 523 to 796 of the family's 1533-position model. The record is from RNAcentral.
AUACAGAGGGUGCGAGCGUUAAUCGGAAUUACUGGGCGUAAAGCGCGCGUAGGCGGUUCGACAAGUGGGGUGUGAAAGCCCAGGGCUUAACCUUGGAACUGCAUUCCAAACUGUCGGACUAGAGUAUGGUAGAGGGAGGUAGAAUUUCCUGUGUAGCGGUGAAAUGCGUAGAUAUAGGAAGGAAUACCGGUGGCGAAGGCGGCCUCCUGGACCAAUACUGACGCUGAGGUGCGAAAGCGUGGGGAGCAAACAGGAUUAGAAACCCCAGUAGUCC